AUGAGUUAAGUAUAAACCCCUUUACAAGUAUCAAUUGGAGGGCAAGUCUGGUGCCAGCAGCCGCGGUAAUUCCAGCUCCAAUAGCGUAUAUUAAAGUUGUUGCAGUUAAAAAGCUCGUAGUUGGAUUUCUGUUAAUAAUUUAUAUAAUAUUUUAACGAUGUUAUGUAAUAUUAACAUAAUUCAUAUUACUAUAUUAUUUUAGUAUAUGAAAUUUUACUUUGAGAAAAUUAGAGUGCUUAAAGCAGGCAUUUGCCUUGAAUACUCCAGCAUGGAAUAAUAUAAAAGAUUUUUAUCUUUUUUAUUGGUUCUAAGAUAAAAAUAAUGAUUAAUAGGGACAGUUGGGGGCAUUUGUAUUUAACAGUCAGAGGUGAAAUUCUUAGAUUUGUUAAAGACAAACUAGUGCGAAAGCAUUUGCCAAGGAUGUUUUCAUUAAUCAAGAACGAAAGUUAGGGGAUCGAAGACGAUCAGAUACCGUCGUAGU
Molecule: ribosomal RNA, 481 nt
Filed under: Cryptosporidium sp. vole genotype IX
Lineage: Eukaryota; Apicomplexa; Conoidasida; Eucoccidiorida; Cryptosporidiidae
Description: SSU rRNA
Rfam family: Eukaryotic small subunit ribosomal RNA
Source: RNAcentral